UAGGGAAUCUUCCACAAUGGACGCAAGUCUGAUGGAGCAACGCCGCGUGAGUGAAGAAGGUUUUCGGAUCGUAAAGCUCUGUUGUUGGUGAAGAAGGAUAGAGGCAGUAACUGGUCUUUAUUUGACGGUAAUCAACCAGAAAGUCAUGGCUAACUACGUGCCAGCAGCCGCGGUAAUACGAAGGUGGCAAGCGUUGUCCGGAUUUAUUGGGCGUAAAGCGAGCGCAGGCGGAAUGAUAAGUCUGAUGUGAAAGCCCACGGCUCAACCGUGGAACUGCAUCGGAAACUGUCAUUCGUGAGUGCAGAAGAGGAGAGUGGAAUUCCAUGUGUAGCGGUGGAAUGCGUAGAUAUAUGGAAGAACACCAGUGGCGAAGGCGGCUCUCUGGUCUGCAACUGACGCUGAGGCUCGAAAGCAUGGGUAGCGAACAGG
Molecule: ribosomal RNA, 429 nt
Filed under: bacterium
Lineage: Bacteria
Description: partial 16S ribosomal RNA
Rfam family: Bacterial small subunit ribosomal RNA
Source: RNAcentral